GGAGCCGCCGCCAGCUGCCGCCAACGGCCUGUCGGGGCGCUGAGGGCAGGGGCCGGGCGCUCGGCCUCCCCCUGUCCGCUUUGCCAGGCGCACAAGGAUACACCUCAUGUCUUGUAUUGCCCUGUGUUGAUAUUUGCCACAGACAUCCCCAUCACAACUACCGUCAGACUACUGGGUGAAGAAGAAAGAGGCUGAAAACAGAUAUUCCUGUCUUUAUUGCCAGGGUGAAGUAGAUGAGGAUGAGCUAACGGACCACCCUCUCACUUACCACUGAUUGGAGAGCACUGGACAUAGACACUGUUGGAGAAAUUCUUGUUAAAAGAGUUCUGGAUGGGUCAUGCUUGGACCACGUGCAUGUGAGUCAUCCAAACAGCGCGUAAGGGCUAAGAGUGGAAGAACAUGUUCUGUAGAUAAACACGGUCAUUAAAAUUUAGCCUUUUGCAAUUAACACAGUGUUAGUAACCUGUGUGGACCUAAAAAUGGUGUGCUUUUCUUUCUUAAGCAUUGUUUUGGUUUUGAGUUUUGGUUUUUUUUUUUUUUUAAUUAAA
Long non-coding RNA from Tyto alba (common barn owl), 548 nucleotides. RefSeq lists it as uncharacterized. The record is from RefSeq and is a predicted model, not a curated record. NCBI's taxonomy places the organism in Eukaryota, Metazoa, Chordata, Aves, Strigiformes, Tytonidae. The transcript is spliced from 4 exons.